Molecule: transfer RNA, 68 nt
Filed under: Acomys mullah (Mullah spiny mouse)
Lineage: Eukaryota; Metazoa; Chordata; Mammalia; Rodentia; Muridae
Description: tRNA-Thr
Rfam family: tRNA
About the family: Transfer RNA (tRNA) molecules are approximately 80 nucleotides in length. Their secondary structure includes four short double-helical elements and three loops (D, anti-codon, and T loops).
Source: RNAcentral
GCCUCAAUAGUAUAAUAAAUUACACUGGUCUUGUAAGCCAAAAACGGAGAACAAAUCUUCUUGGGGCA